This 291-nucleotide unclassified non-coding RNA is filed under the name uncultured fungus. RNAcentral's name for it is "partial contains small subunit ribosomal RNA, internal transcribed spacer 1, and 5.8S ribosomal RNA". The stretch from base 1 to 73 matches the Rfam family "Eukaryotic small subunit ribosomal RNA", at positions 1759 to 1831 of the family's 1831-position model. Lineage: Eukaryota; Fungi. The record is from RNAcentral.
UCAAACUUGGUCAUUUAGAGGAAGUAAAAGUCGUAACAAGGUCUCCGUUGGUGAACCAGCGGAGGGAUCAUUACAGAAGAGUUCAGACGAGCUCGCCAACCCUUUGUGAACCUACCUAAAUGUUGCUUCGGCGGGCAGCCCCAGGGCGGGGCCGCCGCCUCCCUCGCGGGAGGUGUCCGCCAGAGGCCCCUUUUAUACUCUUGCUUUAAACGGCCUUCUGAGUAACUAAAAAAAUAAAUCAAAACUUUCAACAACGGAUCUCUUGGCUUUGGCAUCGAUGAAGAACGCAGC